Molecule: small nuclear RNA, 107 nt
Organism: Dipodomys ordii (Ord's kangaroo rat)
Lineage: Eukaryota; Metazoa; Chordata; Mammalia; Rodentia; Heteromyidae
Source: Ensembl
GUGUUCGCUUCGGCAACACAUAUACUAAAACUGGAACAAUACAGAGAAGAUUAGCAUGGCCCCUGCACAAGGAUGACAUGCAAAUUCAUGAAAUGUUCCAUAUUUUU